RNAcentral lists this transfer RNA (75 nucleotides) under Pinibacter aurantiacus. It matches the Rfam family "tRNA". Rfam says of the family: Transfer RNA (tRNA) molecules are approximately 80 nucleotides in length. Their secondary structure includes four short double-helical elements and three loops (D, anti-codon, and T loops). The record is from Rfam by way of RNAcentral. Lineage: Bacteria; Pseudomonadati; Bacteroidota; Chitinophagia; Chitinophagales; Chitinophagaceae.
UGGUUCGUAACUCUAUUGGAUCAGAGUACCGGUCUUUUACACCGGGAGUUCAGGGUUCGAGUCCCUGCGGGCCAA